Molecule: ribosomal RNA, 460 nt
Filed under: uncultured bacterium
Lineage: Bacteria
Description: partial 16S ribosomal RNA
Rfam family: Bacterial small subunit ribosomal RNA
Source: RNAcentral
CCUACGGGAGGCAGCAGUGAGGAAUAUUGGUCAAUGGGCUUACGCCUGAACCAUCCAAGUCGCGUGAGGGAAGACUGCCCUAUGGGUUGUAAACCUCUUUUGUCAGGGAGCAAUUGGCGCUACGUGUAGCGUUAUCGAGAGUACCUGAAGAAAAAGCAUCGGCUAACUCCGUGCCAGCAGCCGCGGUAAUACGGAGGAUGCGAGCGUUAUCCGGAUUUAUUGGGUUUAAAGGGUGCGUAGGCGGAAUGCCAAGUCAGCGGUAAAAUCGCGGGGCUCAACCUCGCUCCGCCGUUGAAACUGGCGUUCUUGAGUGCAGGAGAGGAGAGUGGAAUUCCUAGUGUAGCGGUGAAAUGCGUAGAUAUUAGGAGGAACACCAGUUGCGAAGGCGGCUCUCUGGACUGUAACUGACACUGAGGCACGAAAGCGUGGGGAGCAAACAGGAUUAGAUACCCCUGUAGUC